Molecule: ribosomal RNA, 465 nt
Filed under: uncultured Klebsiella sp.
Lineage: Bacteria; Pseudomonadati; Pseudomonadota; Gammaproteobacteria; Enterobacterales; Enterobacteriaceae
Description: bacterial SSU rRNA
Rfam family: Bacterial small subunit ribosomal RNA
Source: RNAcentral
CCUACGGGGGGCUGCAGUGGGGAAUAUUGCACAAUGGGCGCAAGCCUGAUGCAGCCAUGCCGCGUGUGUGAAGAAGGCCUUCGGGUUGUAAAGCACUUUCAGCGGGGAGGAAGGCGGUGAGGUUAAUAACCUCAUCGAUUGACGUUACCCGCAGAAGAAGCACCGGCUAACUCCGUGCCAGCAGCCGCGGUAAUACGGAGGGUGCAAGCGUUAAUCGGGAUUACUGGGCGUAAAGCGCACGCAGGCGGUCUGUCAAGUCGGAUGUGAAAUCCCCGGGCUCAACCUGGGAACUGCAUUCGAAACUGGCAGGCUAGAGUCUUGUAGAGGGGGGUAGAAUUCCAGGUGUAGCGGUGAAAUGCGUAGAGAUCUGGAGGAAUACCGGUGGCGAAGGCGGCCCCCUGGACAAAGACUGACGCUCAGGUGCGAAAGCGUGGGGAGCAAACAGGAUUAGAUACCCUAGUAGUC